Molecule: ribosomal RNA, 484 nt
Filed under: uncultured bacterium
Lineage: Bacteria
Description: partial 16S ribosomal RNA
Rfam family: Bacterial small subunit ribosomal RNA
Source: RNAcentral
AUUGAACGCUGGCGGCAGGCCUAACACAUGCAAGUCGAGCGGAUGAAGGGAGCUUGCUCCUGGAUUCAGCGGCGGACGGGUGAGUAAUGCCUAGGAAUCUGCCUGGUAGUGGGGUAUAACGUCCGGAAACGGGCGCUAAUACCGCAUACGUCCUGAGGGAGGAAGUGGGGGAUCUUCGGACCUCACGCUGUCAGAUGAGCCUAGGUCGGAGUAGCUAGUUGGUGGGGUAAAGGCCUACCAAGGCGACGAUCCGUAACUGGUCUGAGAGGAUGAUCAGUCACACUGGACCUGAGACACGGUCCAGACUCCUACGGGCGGCAGCAGUGGGGAAUAUUGGACAAUGGGCGAACGCCUGAUCCAGCCGUGCCGCGUGUGUGAAGAAGGUCUUCGGAUUGUAAAGCACUUUAAGUUGGGAGGAAGGGCAGUACGUUAAUACCUUGCUGUUUUGACGUUACCAACAGAAUAAGCACCGGCUAACUCCGUG